Molecule: long non-coding RNA, 1424 nt
Organism: Ictalurus punctatus (channel catfish)
Lineage: Eukaryota; Metazoa; Chordata; Actinopteri; Siluriformes; Ictaluridae
Source: Ensembl
GUGUUCUACAGGGGUUCUACGGGGUUCUAUGGGGUUCUAUGGGGUUCUACAGGUGUUCUACGGUGUUCUACAGGUGUUCUACGGGGGUUCUACGGGGUUCUACAGGUGUUCUACAGGGGUUCUACGGGGGUUCUACAGGUGUUCUACAGGGGUUCUACAGGGGUUCUACGGGGUUCUACAGGGGUUCUACGGGGGUUCUACAGGUGUUCUUUGAGUGGUUAGAAGUUCUAUGUGGAACUUUAUUAUAGGGUUCUAUAACAGAUUAAUAAUAAUUCAUUAUAUAGCUUUACUGUAAUUGACUCCAAAUCCCACUUUACUAAACCCUCUUAUUUUAAACAUUUAAUAAAUCUGUAAAUUAUCUAGCAAACUCUAAUCAUUUCUCCACACCAAAGUCUAAAUCAACUGAUAUUAGCUAAUCUAAUGUUACAACCGUCUGCGUAACGUACCCAGUCUGCUUCUAGUUGAUCCCAAAUUCCUGUCAUUUUUAAAAGCACACCCUCAUGUUCCCCUUCAUCUUCCCACAUCUUUAUCCCAAACUCUCACUGCUGUAUAUAACUCGUUAUAUAUCACCUCAUUAAAGGUUUAAAUAAUGAACAUUGUGCAGCUCGGUUUAUCGACACAAAAUCCCUCUACACGCUUCUUCUUCCUCCUGCAGACCUCAGUGUGUGGUGUAAUGGUGAAUCCGCAGGUGUCCCUCAGGGCUCCAUCUUACAUCCCGCCCUGUUCUCUAUGAUAUAACCGCUGAUAUCUGUGUGGUAAGUGCUUAUGAGGUGUAUUUCUGUGUGCUGUUCAUUUCAGUUCAUUCAUUUACCCAAAUUCUGCUCUAAUUCACGUAUCCAGACACAUCCACUCGCAAACUUCUUAUCCAACCUCCUAUACCUCAUCUAAUACGCUGUAAACCUCCUAAAAUCCUCGAAAUUGGAAUUUAAAUCCUUAAUGUAACUCAACAAACUUUUAUUCACCCCAUUAAUAACCUCUACACUAAUGUAUCUCCCCCGGCCUCCAAUUUAACAGCUGCUCGUCUAAUGAUCAAAUCUCCUCACGUCUAAUCAUCUCUAAUCAUUCCAUUUAUGUAAACACCCCAAAAUUCCUCCUUAUAAUCACACACUGUAAUACACACACUGAAAUACACACACUGUAAUACACACACUGUACUACACACACACACACACAUUGUACUACACACACACACUGUACUACACACACUGUAAUACACACACUGUAAUACACACACACACACUGUACUACACACACACACUGUACUACACACACUGUAAUACACACACACAGUACAACACACACUGUAAUACACACACUGUAAUACACACACUGUAAUACACACACUGUAAUACACACACUGUAAUACACACACGCUGUACUACACACACACACACUGUACUACACACACUGUAAUACACACACAC